UCGGGCAUGGUGUAUGGUACACCGCCUCUCCCAUUUAGACAUGUCAGGACGAAGAUUGUGAGGCAGACCGGGGUUCGACUCCCCGUGUCCGAA
Molecule: non-coding RNA, 93 nt
Organism: Mycena leptocephala
Lineage: Eukaryota; Fungi; Basidiomycota; Agaricomycetes; Agaricales; Mycenaceae
Source: the annotation of a GenBank genome assembly